This 73-nucleotide transfer RNA is filed under the name Drosophila sechellia. RNAcentral's name for it is "tRNA-His (GTG) (tRNA-His-GTG-2-1)". It matches the Rfam family "tRNA". Rfam says of the family: Transfer RNA (tRNA) molecules are approximately 80 nucleotides in length. Their secondary structure includes four short double-helical elements and three loops (D, anti-codon, and T loops). Further hydrogen bonds mediate the characteristic L-shaped molecular structure. tRNAs have two regions of fundamental functional importance: the anti-codon, which is responsible for specific mRNA codon recognition, and the 3' end, to which the tRNAs corresponding amino acid is attached (by aminoacyl-tRNA synthetases). tRNAs cope with the degeneracy of the genetic code in two manners: having more than one tRNA (with a specific anti-codon) for a particular amino acid; and 'wobble' base-pairing, i.e. permitting non-standard base-pairing at the 3rd anti-codon position. Lineage: Eukaryota; Metazoa; Arthropoda; Insecta; Diptera; Drosophilidae. The record is from RNAcentral.
CCUUCGAUAGCUCAGUUGGUAGAGCGGUGGACUGUGAAUCCAUAGGUCGCUGUUUCAAAUCCGACUCGAAGGA